This 471-nucleotide ribosomal RNA is filed under the name uncultured organism. Its description in RNAcentral is "partial 16S ribosomal RNA". It matches the Rfam family "Bacterial small subunit ribosomal RNA", at positions 334 to 797 of the family's 1533-position model. The record is from RNAcentral.
CACUCCUACGGGAGGCAGCAGUGGGGAAUUUUGGACAAUGGGCGAAAGCCUGAUCCAGCAAUGCCGCGUGAGUGAAGAAGGCCUUCGGGUUGUAAAGCUCUUUUGUCAGGGAAGAAACGGUGAAAGCUAAUAUCUUUUGCUAAUGACGGUACCUGAAGAAUAAGCACCGGCUAACUACGUGCCAGCAGCCGCGGUAAUACGUAGGGUGCAAGCGUUAAUCGGAAUUACUGGGCGUAAAGCGUGCGCAGGCGGUUUUGUAAGUCUGAUGUGAAAUCCCCGGGCUCAACCUGGGAAUUGCAUUGGAGACUGCAAGGCUAGAAUCUGGCAGAGGGGGGUAGAAUUCCACGUGUAGCAGUGAAAUGCGUAGAUAUGUGGAGGAACACCGAUGGCGAAGGCAGCCCCCUGGGUCAAGAUUGACGCUCAUGCACGAAAGCGUGGGGAGCAAACAGGAUUAGAAACCCGGGUAGUCCC